Molecule: long non-coding RNA, 2647 nt
Organism: Physcomitrium patens
Lineage: Eukaryota; Viridiplantae; Streptophyta; Bryopsida; Funariales; Funariaceae
Source: RefSeq, a predicted model, not a curated record
AUAUCUGACGAGUUUCUGUUUGCAUGUCGUAUCAGAUUGGGCCUCCCUGACGGUGAGGUGUUGCUUUCGAAGCGCCACCCCAGCUGCUCAUUCAGCGGUCGGCCACGAUGCGGCCGACCUAGACGAGUGGGUAACGCAACGGUUUGGAUCCCACAUGACGCGCCCUUCAGACGUGAGCAACAAGCUCCAGAUCUACGGACAGUAUCCAACUGCCCUUCAACCGUGGAUCAAUAUUGGACGGCUGGGAUCUGGAGGCGGGGUAAUAGGAGUCUCUCUCACACUAUUUCACGCUCACCGCUCUUAUCGUAGGAGCCUACUUAUAUAAGUUGCUUCGCCUGACUUCUUUGUCUUUUGGCUUGGCCCGCGCGUCGGGGGUGUCGAGGAGGAAUCUUUGUCCCUCCAUCGGUGCUUCUGCGAGCCUAUUUCUUCGGCGUGGAGGGCUCUAUGGAAACGAUGGUGCGAACAGCGGCAUCUCUGCCAGGCUGUUUUUAGCGUGUAGUGGAGUGAGGUUGAUGUCGAUUCGGUUGUGAUGGCCUGUGUCUUUUCGGAUGCCUGGACGCGGUUACGUUUCUCCUUGUUGAUGUAGUUCAGUGUUUUGGUGCGGUGCUGGUGGCGGCGAAGAGGCGUUGGUUAAGAUGGAGCGGUUUCGUGGAGUUUUUCCUUUCUCUCAGCGGUUUUUGUUUUGGUUUUUUUUCUUGAUGCAAGCGUGUUUCAGAAUACCUUUGAGAUGCUUGUUCAUGCUACGGUGCGUUUGGCGUUCGGCGUGAGAUGCAUGCAGUUGUACCUUAUUGGUACCAAUCAAAGGCAGGCACAGUAACUUACCAGAAGAUUAUGCCCCACUCAAAUAGUGACGGUUCCGCAAUGACUUUGACGAUAUUUUGCGUCGAGGUCAAAGGCUUAAAGAGUUGACGGCCGCAGUCUAGCCAUGGUUGAACUGAAAGUUGCCAGGCUGAUUGGUGUGUCGCAAGACCUUACCCUUAUGGGUGCGCUUACGGGGUGGGUCUACUCUUAAUAAAAUGAUGUUUCGUGGGGUCGGGAGGUUUGAUCCUCUCGCUGGUGUGUGUUGGUCGCGUAUCAUGUUUGUCUUGCUAACCUCUGGCAUAUGUUAAUCUGGCCAUGUCUCCUGUGAAACUGCUCUUUGGAGAUGAUUUUGGGAACAUCAUGGCAUGAAGGAGUUGCCUAAGUGAGUCAACUUCCGUUCGUGAAGUUUUGCGCGUGUCUCCGAGAUCGUGGAUGUGGCGAGUACGUGUGAUUCUUUGCUCAUUCUGUGGACAAGCUCAGAGUUCAAUCACCCGGAUGACCCUAACCAAUUUGUGUUUUCAAUACUCACAAUUCUGAAGGCAAAUGAAGACCGGGUCAAAUUUUAAGGCCAAUUCAAACCCUCUGCCCGACGAUAUCGGUGUACCGCAACUCAUGGCCGGAACUCACCAUUCGAUGCAACUUAUGAAUACGCACAGAUAACUGUCUCCCUCCGAACCCAGUACCUCAACACAAUCUCCUCCUCAUUUGGCAAUUGAUGGUACAUCGCAACGACCACUUACUGCUCAACAACCCUCAUCUUCACUGAGGUAGAAGUGUCUUUGUAACUUCCUGCACCCUUUCUAUACUUAACACUAAAGCGUCUAACGCAGACAAAGAAUUGAUUGGGUAUCAACGUCCAGGUAUAUCUCUAUAUGCACAAUCCUCAUUUGCGACAAUUCUUCAUAUCGUUUUAUUAAGCAUAAGAUUCCUCCUGUAUCUUUCAACAUACCCUCAUCAUAUCUGAUCUGGUUUUCUACCAUUAUUCGUGUGGUCUUUUAUCUGCCUUUGCAUCUCGUUAUCUAGGUUCGUAUCUGAAUUAUCCUUUUCAUCCUGUGUUUCUGCCAGUGUUUUCUACCAGUAAUGUAGGUUUCAACUCUGACCUCAUGUGCAGUCCCUAUUCUAUUCGCAUGUCACGUUGAACAAUUUUUAGUACCUUAAACUAUCUGAUUCAUAUCAUGAUAAGUGAAGCAGUACAAUAGUCUCUAGUUGCAUAUACUUACAGUUUUAUGAGAUAGAUGAAGCUAUAUGUUCAGGUUAGCUGUUACAUGUACAUGUUGAAGUAUGUGGGAUGUCUGUACAAUUAGUUCAGAAAAUACAGUUAGGAAGUUUGAAGGUUAUUGCGAUUGUAUAGAUGGGGAAGUUACUUCACGUGAGCUGGAGGCGGGUUUAUACAUUCUUGCCUCAAGCAAAUGCGAAUGAUAAUGCGCAGAUCGGAAUUUUGGUAGAUGUGUACUGCUUCGAGGAUCUAUCCAUUGCAGUCACCGACGUUCAAAUGCCGUCGUGAUAUCGCGAGAGGGAGGUUAUCAUUGGCAAUCAUUUAAAUUCUGGACAUGGUUGACAGAAAUUUUGACACUAUCUCUGUACACUGUUUCUGUUCGCUCACAUGUUGUAUGUCUAACAGCAUGUCACUUGUACAAGAACUGACAUGCGUCCAUUCAGUGAAAGAGUACCAAGUAGUUUUGAGACCUUAGCUCAAUUUCAUACACAGUGCAUCCUAGAUUCAAGUACAACAGACGUUAGAAUUUCUUUUGCGCAGGUUCUGAAAUGAAGAGAAAUGACGAUAAAUGUUUCUUGUUUCAUUAUUUCCGUUUAACUGGUUGUAGAGUAAGUCGUCAGCGUUUUUUUA